GACCGCGACCCCAGGUCAGGCGGGACUACCCGCUAGAAUG
This 40-nucleotide ribosomal RNA is filed under the name Lafuentea rotundifolia. Its description in RNAcentral is "partial 26S ribosomal RNA". The record is from RNAcentral. Lineage: Eukaryota; Viridiplantae; Streptophyta; Magnoliopsida; Lamiales; Plantaginaceae.